UGGGGGUAAUGGCAAAUGAAUUAAAGGAAGAGAGAGUGUUGAUGUCGUUUCAGAUAUUGCGGCCAAAUUCAGAAGAAUGUGGGCAGCACGUUUCAGUUUUUAAUUUUUUCCUUUUUUGAGUUAUUAAUGAGUGGUAUUAUCAUUUAAUUAUUAUUUUCUAAAGUUUAAUUACUCUUAACUUUGGCUUUUGCGGCCUUUUGUUUUG
RNAcentral lists this long non-coding RNA (205 nucleotides) under Gossypium raimondii (Peruvian cotton). RNAcentral describes it as "long non-coding RNA (GRAI_LNC000308)". Lineage: Eukaryota; Viridiplantae; Streptophyta; Magnoliopsida; Malvales; Malvaceae. The record is from RNAcentral.